RNAcentral lists this ribosomal RNA (254 nucleotides) under uncultured bacterium. Its description in RNAcentral is "partial 16S ribosomal RNA". It matches the Rfam family "Bacterial small subunit ribosomal RNA", at positions 524 to 776 of the family's 1533-position model. The record is from RNAcentral.
UACGAAGGGGGCAAGCGUUGUUCGGAAUUACUGGGCGUAAAGGGCGCGCAGGCGGCUUGUUAAGUCAGAUGUGAAAGCCCCGGGCUCAACCUGGGAAUAGCAUUUGGGACUGAUGGGCUAGAGAUCGGGAGAGGAGAGUGGAAUUCCCAGUGUAGAGGUGAAAUUCGUAGAUAUUGGGAAGAACACCGGUGGCGAAGGCGGCUCUCUGGACCGAUACUGACGCUGAGGCGCGAAAGCGGUGGGGAGCAAACAGG